AAUCAACGCUGGCGGCGUGCCUAACACAUGCAAGUCGAACGCGAAAGCCCCGCAAGGGGUAAGUAGAGUGGCAAACGGGUGAGUAACACGUGGGUGACCUGCCUUCGAGUGGGGGAUAACGUCCCGAAAGGGACGCUAAUACCGCAUGACAUCCUGCUUUUGAAAAAGCGGAGAUCAAAGCUGGGGAUCGCAAGACCUAGCGCUUGAAGAGGGGCCCGCGCCUGAUUAGCUAGUUGGUGAGGUAACGGCUCACCAAGGCGACGAUCAGUAUCCGGCCUGAGAGGGCGGACGGACACACUGGGAAUGAGACACGGCCCAGACUCCUACGGGAGGCAGCAGUGGGGAAUUGUUCGCAAUGGGCGCAAGCCUGACGACGCAACGCCGCGUGGAGGACGAAGAUCUUCGGGUCGUAAACUCCUGUCGAGCGGGACGAACGCUUCGCGGAUGAAUAAUCCGCGGAAUUGACGGUACCGCUAAAGGAAGCCCCGGCUAACUCCGUG
RNAcentral lists this ribosomal RNA (500 nucleotides) under uncultured bacterium. Its description in RNAcentral is "partial 16S ribosomal RNA". It matches the Rfam family "Bacterial small subunit ribosomal RNA", at positions 32 to 507 of the family's 1533-position model. The record is from RNAcentral.